AUUGAACGCUGGCGGAAUGCUUUACACAUGCAAGUCGAACGGUAGAGGGGGCAACCCCUCGAGAGUGGCGAACGGGUGAGUAAUAUAUCGGAACGUGCCCAGUCGUGGGGGAUAACGUAGCGAAAGUUACGCUAAUACCGCAUACGAUCUAUGGAUGAAAGCGGGGGGACCGUAAGGCCUCGCGCGAUUGGAGCGGCCGAUAUCAGAUUAGGUAGUUGGUGGGGUAAAGGCUCACCAAGCCAACGAUCUGUAGCUGGUCUGAGAGGACGACCAGCCACACUGGAACUGAGACACGGUCCAGACUCCUACGGGAGGCAGCAGUGGGGAAUAUUGGUCAAUGGGCGCAAGCCUGAACCAGCCAUGCCGCGUGCAGGAAGACGGUCCUAUGGAUUGUAAACUGCUUUUGUACGGAACGAAAAGGUUUCUAUUAAUACUAGGAGCUCAUGACGGUACCGUAAGAAUAAGCACCGGCUAACUACGUG
Molecule: ribosomal RNA, 482 nt
Filed under: uncultured bacterium
Lineage: Bacteria
Description: bacterial SSU rRNA
Rfam family: Bacterial small subunit ribosomal RNA
Source: RNAcentral